This 254-nucleotide ribosomal RNA is filed under the name uncultured bacterium. RNAcentral's name for it is "partial 16S ribosomal RNA". It matches the Rfam family "Bacterial small subunit ribosomal RNA", at positions 524 to 776 of the family's 1533-position model. The record is from RNAcentral.
CACGUAGGGUGCGAGCGUUGUCCGGAAUUCUUGGGCGUAAAGAGCUCGUAGGCGGUGUGUCGCGUCGGCCGUGAAAACCUGCAGCUUAACUGUGGGCUUGCGGUCGAUACGGGCAUCACUGGAGUUCGGCAGGGGAGACUGGAAUUCCUGGUGUAGCGGUGAAAUGCGCAGAUAUCAGGAGGAACACCGGUGGCGAAGGCGGGUCUCUGGGCCGAUACUGAUGCUGAGGAGCGAAAGCGUGGGGAGCGAACAGG